GGGCUAGUGGCUGAGUGGUAAGGCAGCCCUCUUGCAAAGGGACGUACCGAGGUCAUGUGUUGAAGCGCACACCUCGGUCACGGGUUCAAAUCCCGUCUGGCCCUCCA
RNAcentral lists this transfer RNA (107 nucleotides) under Acidobacteriota bacterium. Its description in RNAcentral is "tRNA-Ala". It matches the Rfam family "tRNA". From Rfam's summary of the family: Transfer RNA (tRNA) molecules are approximately 80 nucleotides in length. Their secondary structure includes four short double-helical elements and three loops (D, anti-codon, and T loops). Further hydrogen bonds mediate the characteristic L-shaped molecular structure. tRNAs have two regions of fundamental functional importance: the anti-codon, which is responsible for specific mRNA codon recognition, and the 3' end, to which the tRNAs corresponding amino acid is attached (by aminoacyl-tRNA synthetases). tRNAs cope with the degeneracy of the genetic code in two manners: having more than one tRNA (with a specific anti-codon) for a particular amino acid; and 'wobble' base-pairing, i.e. permitting non-standard base-pairing at the 3rd anti-codon position. The record is from RNAcentral. Lineage: Bacteria; Pseudomonadati; Acidobacteriota.